CAUUACUAAUAUGCUUUAUUGAACUCUAACAGAAUUGUAAGCAUAACUAAAGAUUUUUCCACAUUGUGACUGUUUCACGAAUACCACUCACUUUUAGAGUUGAGACCAACUUUUUUCCCCCUAAUGUUUGAUCUGGAAGAGCUUCUCCAUUAUUAGCUUUCUGAGUCAUCCAGAUCAUUCAAAUUAUGCAUUGUAACUCUUGCUGGUUGUUGAUAUUCACCCACUUAAGUGAAUAUGUACUCAAUAAAACAGAUUUUCCUGAAUUGAACUAACCCUGUUGUAAGGAAAACUGGGUAUGCAAUAGAGUCCUAAAUGAACUUGAAGGAAUACUAAGAGAUCUUGAGUGUGUUUUCUAAAAAUCUGACAACACAAGUGGGUUUUCGAUAUAGCUUUCCAGAAGAAGUACAAGUUUUAUUACUCAGGGCAUUUUAAACUAGAAUAGACAAAACACUAGUGUGGUAUGUUGAAAUAAAAUAUGUGUAGUCCGUCUGUGAAUUAGUGUUUACUUUCAAUAUAAUUAUAAGUGAAGCAACACUGUAAUGGGAAUUUUUCAUACACAUGAAAGCUAUGGCUACUAUGUUUCCACACCGACCAUAUGUUGCACAUAUUGGUUGGUGGGGAUGUGUAUCCCUACUGCCCUCUUGUGGAUGAAAUGUAAGACCUACCUGAUCAGAGUAUCUAACAAGCUUCGUAUGGUUUGGGGGGUAUAUCAAUCCUUAAUCAUUUAGGGUAGAAAGAAAAUAGCUGUGUUGAUGCAUUUUCCAUCAAAUUAUAAAAUUGAAGGGCAUUAAAAACAACAGAGUCAAACUCUGUAAUUAAGACUGCCAUUUAAUGUUUGUUCGCACACGGUAUUCAUUUCUGUGUAUCCCUGCCAAAGCCCCAUUGUGUAAUGUUGUCCUCACAUGACAUUAAAAACACCAGUUCCCUGGAAAAUGGAAAAAAGAAACCGUGCUGCCUUGAAAUACAUGGAGUUUACUUUUGGAAACAGAAAAUUAAUACAGACUCAGUAAGAUAAUUUGGAACACAAAUAAUGGCUAGAAGAAACUUGAAAAUCAGUACUGUUCUUAAAUCUACACAAGUAUAUUAGCAAUCUAUGGGAGUGCUGGCUGAUACUCAGACAAGGGCAGAAAAAAUAGGUUUCAGAAUAGGGAAGCUGAUUGGAGAAAAGGUUAAAUAAACACACUCUUAUAGUAAAGGGACAGGAAAAUAUGUCCAAGCCCACAUGUAAUACUUGUGCAUGUAGUUAGUGCUAUCAUACUGAGAUUGUUUUUUGGACAGAAUACAGAUGCUCUAUUCUCAGGGAAGAAAGACAUGGAUCUGUAGAGUUCUUCAGCAUUUUAGCCCAAAGAAGAUAAAUGUGAAGGCAAUUCCUUGUAUAAUUUUUAUUAUCUUAAGGGAGUUAGACAUCCAUUAUUAAUUUUUAGUCUUACUUAGUAUAUCAAAUAAUUAAAAUACCAAGAGGGAAAAAUUACACAAUAUAUAUCACCCAAACAACUGACAUACCAGGUAGGAUGGGGGAAUUCAAGUGAAA
Perognathus longimembris pacificus (Pacific pocket mouse) is the source of this 1531-nucleotide long non-coding RNA. RefSeq lists it as uncharacterized. The record is from RefSeq and is a predicted model, not a curated record. The transcript is spliced from 3 exons. NCBI's taxonomy places the organism in Eukaryota, Metazoa, Chordata, Mammalia, Rodentia, Heteromyidae.